Molecule: ribosomal RNA, 521 nt
Filed under: uncultured cyanobacterium
Lineage: Bacteria; Bacillati; Cyanobacteriota
Description: bacterial SSU rRNA
Rfam family: Bacterial small subunit ribosomal RNA
Source: RNAcentral
GAUUUUCCGCAAUGGGCGAAAGCCUGACGGAGCAAUACCGCGUGAGGGAGGAAGGCUCUUGGGUUGUAAACCUCUUUUCUCAGGGAAGAACAAAAUGACGGUACCUGAGGAAUAAGCAUCGGCUAACUCCGUGCCAGCAGCCGCGGUAAUACGGAGGAUGCAAGCGUUAUCCGGAAUGAUUGGGCGUAAAGCGUCCGCAGGUGGCUUUGCAAGUCUGCUGUCAAAGCUCAGGGCUUAACCCUGAAUCGGCGGUGGAAACUGAAAGGCUAGAGUGCGGUAGGGGCAGAGGGAAUUCCCAGUGUAGCGGUGAAAUGCGUAGAGAUUGGGAAGAACACCAGUGGCGAAAGCGCUCUGCUAGACCGCAACUGACACUCAUGGACGAAAGCUAGGGGAGCGAAUGGGAUUAGAUACCCCAGUAGUCCUAGCCGUAAACGAUGGAUACUAGGCGUUGAGAGUAUCGACCCUCUCAGUGUCGUAGCUAACGCGUUAAGUAUCCCGCCUGGGGAGUACGCACGCAAGUG